UAAAGCUGCUCGUUCCUGGAUUUUUUUGGGGCUGGGGUGCAGGGUGUGGAGCUCAGGGAGUGUGAGUCGAUAGCACUCGGCCCGGUAUCCCGCCUGGAUGGAUGCACGCACCAGUGAACCUGUGGUGGAAACGCGGCAGAUGAAUAAUGAACACCCUGCCUGGAAACUGCGGCGGGGAGCAGCGAGGUCCUACAGCAGCAAACCAUUGAGCCGGAGCUGAUGACCUUAAGGUCCAAAAGGCAUCUUCUUAACAGCGACGUUCUCCGCUUCUCUCAUGCCUGCGGUACUCCGGCAAGGAGAUCCCGGAACUUUCUGUUCAGCUUCCCCUUCGGGCUGCCAGACGUUUCCGUCUGAAUCAGCAGCAGCUCUUGGAACAGGAAUCGGACUCCAAAAUUCUUGGCAUCAGCCCCUAGCCUCAACCAACUCGAUUUAGCCAACGAUUAAAAGCCCUGCAGAGAGCGGUGCGGUGUUCCGGAAGGAUAACUGGAGGCAGGAGGUAUCGCAGUAUCCGGUCCCGAACCGGCAGGCUGAGGGACAACCUCCUCCAUCAGGCCAUCAGACUGCUGAACAUUGACCACUAGUACGUCAUAGACAAUUCACUGGCACUUUUCGACACUUCGACACUUUAUCCUCUCCAUACCGCAGAUUUGUGCACAACAUUUAUCUACGGACAUUCUGUACACACACACACACACACAUACACACACACACGUAUAUAAUGUAUAUUUUGUAUUCACAUUCAU
Molecule: long non-coding RNA, 743 nt
Organism: Brienomyrus brachyistius
Lineage: Eukaryota; Metazoa; Chordata; Actinopteri; Osteoglossiformes; Mormyridae
Exons: 4
Source: RefSeq, a predicted model, not a curated record